GACGAACGCUUUCUUCUUUCUUAACACAUGCAAGUCGAACGGAAAGGCCCUGCUUUUGUGGGGUGCUCGAGUGGCGAACGGGUGAGUAACACGUGAGUAACCUGCCCUUGACUUUGGGAUAACUUCAGGAAACUGGGGCUAAUACCGGAUAGGAGCUCCUGCUGCAUGGUGGGGGUUGGAAAGUUUCGGCGGUUGGGGAUGGACUCGCGGCUUAUCAGCUUGUUGGUGGGGUAGUGGCUUACCAAGGCUUUGACGGGUAGCCGGCCUGAGAGGGUGACCGGCCACAUUGGGGCUGAGAGACGGCCCAGACUCCUACGGGAGGCAGCAGUGGGGAAUAUUGCACAAUGGGCGGAAGCCUGAUGCAGCAACGCCGCGUGCGGGAUGACGGCCUUCGGGUUGUAAACCGCUUUCGCCUGUGACGAAGCGUGAGUGACGGUAAUGGGUAAAGAAGCACCGGCUAACUACGUG
RNAcentral lists this ribosomal RNA (468 nucleotides) under uncultured bacterium. RNAcentral's name for it is "partial 16S ribosomal RNA". It matches the Rfam family "Bacterial small subunit ribosomal RNA", at positions 28 to 507 of the family's 1533-position model. The record is from RNAcentral.